RNAcentral lists this long non-coding RNA (1034 nucleotides) under Carassius auratus (goldfish). RNAcentral's name for it is "lncRNA (ENSCARG00000028203.1)". The record is from RNAcentral. Lineage: Eukaryota; Metazoa; Chordata; Actinopteri; Cypriniformes; Cyprinidae.
GUAAUUAUGUGGAUUUAUUUCUUCAAAAAUUUUCAGUUAACACUGUGGCAUUUUCAUCAGCUCCGUCUGUGAUUUCCAUCAGCUCCGUCUGUGAUUUCCAUCAGCUCCGUCUGUGUGCUAAUCUGAUGCCCUGUGCUUCUGAAUGAGUGUUUCUUAAGUUCUAGUGGGUCUGUGCUUGUGGGAGGAGCCGGAGCACAGCUGGUCUCUCAUUGGUUGGCCUGGCUGGAGAGGUUGUAUCUCACACCGCAGGGAUGGAGCGAUCAGCCUCACACAGAGAGAGAGAGAGAGAGAGAGAGAGUGAGGAGCUGCUGGAAAACUGUGCCUUUCAGUCCGAGACAUUCACAUAUCAAUACAGGGCUGCGUCAGUGCCAGAUCAGAGCCGGAGUUCAGCUUCAUACGCUGCACAGAGACACUCAGAGUCCAUCAUGAAGGGCUCUGCGGAGAGACGCUGUGUAACACUGUGGAAGGAUCUCAGCUGCGCAGAAGUGAGGGGAACAGUAUGUCAAGUUGCAUUUUCUGACCUCUGUCUAAUUGACAGGUUUUAUUUUUGAAGAUAAAAAUGGAAUAUGUUUAAGUGUUUUUUUAUCAGUUCUUACAUGUAAAGUUUCUUUUGUUUGUUGCUGCCUAUAAGUUGUUCAUCUCUUCUCAAAUUCGAAAAAAAAAGACCAUAAUAAAACAGAACCAUAUUAAUUUUGUACCCUUAUCAGAAUGUUUAAUACAUAUAUCUGCUUACCUGUUAAUAAUGUUAAAUGCUACAUAGUCAUUAUAUUAUGGAGGAUGCUUUGUUUCAGUUCAGCCUUUUCUAUUGAUUUAUAAAGUAAAAAUGGCAUGUAUUCACCAUUGUAUUUCACUGUGUUUUGAAGCUGAUUAACAAUCUGCUGUAAGUCAGUUUUUUUACCUAUAAAAUGAAAAUGGCCACUUCUAGUUAUAUUUAGUUUAUCAUUGUAAAAGCUGUGCGUGCAGGUUACAAUAUGGAUAAAUUCAGCUUUUAUUAAAUGUGGAGAUCAACGUGGCCAUCAUCAUAAACUCCUCAC